CAGGGAGACAACAAAAUGUUUUAAUUUUAUUAUUUUGUCACCUUAGGUCGAUCGGUAUCUCACGUUCUUAAUUUAUUAAGAAUUUCAAUUCCUAAGUUUUUUCUAGGUCACACCCAUUAUAUUUCCUGGGCCAUUAGCUCAGGUGGUUAGAGCGCACCCCUGAUAAGGGUGAGGUCCCUGGUUCAAGUCCAGGAUGGCCCAUAUCUCUAUGUUGGGGGUAUAGCUCAGUUGGUAGAGCGCCUGCUUUGCAAGCAGGAUGUCAGCGGUUCGAGUCCGCUUACCUCCACUGAUUACCACCUCUUCCAUAAUGUUUAAAAAGGAAAUGUUUUGAGACGUGAUCAAAUUCUGAACGAAUCUAGCUUCCUAAUGAAAUCAUUAAGAUGCUGAAUUCAUUGAAUUAAUUUCAUUGUUUUCAGAGAACCUUGACAACUGCAUAGAUUAUUUUUAAAGACAAUAAGCAUCUUUUAUGAUGCAGAUUUUUUAUUUGUGCGAAUGCAUUAAUAACAAUUCUAUUAAGCUGAUGCUUCAAUUUUGAAGUUAUU
RNAcentral lists this transfer RNA (542 nucleotides) under uncultured cyanobacterium. RNAcentral's name for it is "partial 16S-23S ribosomal RNA intergenic spacer". The stretch from base 214 to 286 matches the Rfam family "tRNA". The record is from RNAcentral. Lineage: Bacteria; Bacillati; Cyanobacteriota.